GUCGAGGUUCAGCACGAGCGGGACAGGAGAGGGACAGCAGAGCGAGGAGGACGAGGAGCAGGAGGGAGCUCAAGCAGAGGGUGCGGGUCAUCGUGACUGAAAGGAGGGGGUCUGCAGACACAUCCUGAGACUUAAAACUACUGUGGAUACAUUAAAUUCAAACAGCCAGCCAGUAGAGAACCGAGGAGGCCUGGAUAUUAAACGGACCAACGCUGACAUCCUCUGGACAAAAUAGUUCAGUGACCUAGAGAGCUUCUAAAGUGAGACUGAAGUGCUUCUUACCCAGCAGUUGCCCCUGCCUGCUGUGUGACAGGAAGACAGGUCUUAAGUGGAAUGGGAAGGAC
Molecule: long non-coding RNA, 344 nt
Organism: Larimichthys crocea (large yellow croaker)
Lineage: Eukaryota; Metazoa; Chordata; Actinopteri; Sciaenidae
Exons: 3
Source: RefSeq, a predicted model, not a curated record